GACGAACGCUGGCGGCGUGCUUAAAAACAUGCAAGUCGAACGGACUUCUCAUGAAGCUUGCGAUUGAGAAGUUAGUGGCGGACGGGUGAGUAACGCGUGGGCAACCUGCCCCUGAGCCCGGGGAUAACAGUUCGAAAGGACUGCUAAGACCGGAUAUACUUGCGGUGAAGCAUUUCACUGCAAGGAAAGGGAACGCUCAGGGAUGGGCCCGCGUCCCAUUAGCUAGUUGGUGAGGUAACGGCCCACCAAGGCGACGAUGGGUAGCCGGCCUGAGAGGGUGAACGGCCACACUGGGACUGAGACACGGCCCAGACUCCUACGGGAGGCAGCAGUUGGGAAUCUUCGGCAAUGGGCGCAAGCCUGACCGAGCAACGCCGCGUGAGUGAUGAAGGUUUUCGGAUUGUAAAGCUCUGUCUUCCGGGACGAUAAUGACGGUACCGGAGGAGGAAGCCACGGCUAACUACGUG
RNAcentral lists this ribosomal RNA (467 nucleotides) under uncultured bacterium. RNAcentral's name for it is "bacterial SSU rRNA". It matches the Rfam family "Bacterial small subunit ribosomal RNA", at positions 28 to 507 of the family's 1533-position model. The record is from RNAcentral.